UUAUGUAAUAGGAAAUGGACUUUUUAAUAGAGAGGCCUUAAAAGUGAUCUAAAAAGAAUAGAUAUAUAGAAUUAGGCUGGAAUACUAUUAAUAGUAAAACGCUUUUUUUGCUAUCAAAUUUUUAACCCUUGGAUGAAAAAUUGUAAGGUCAGGAUGAUAUUAGUCGGUUAGAGUUGAGUGGUCCCCCUAGGGUUGAGUGGUCCCCACUGGGUUAUAGUAUUUAAACCAAUGGUUAGAAAUAAUGCAAAGAGUUGAUCCAAAGGCUAAAAAACUGGUAGCAACAAUGGAAUUUUGCUACUAAUAGUAGCCCAGUCCAACUCUAGAUAUAUAUAUAUAUAUAUNAUAUAUAUAUAUAUAUAUAAAGUUGAGCUUCUGUAUUUUUAAAAGCACAUGAAUAUUUAUUUUUAUGGCUUUUUAAUCGUCAGAUUGUUUCAAGAUUUGCACAGCAUUAGUACUGCACGAAUCUUGAAGCUAUCUGAUGGCUAAAAAACACAAGCACGUUGAGCAAAUGAUUGCAGU
RNAcentral lists this long non-coding RNA (519 nucleotides) under Ananas comosus (pineapple). Its description in RNAcentral is "long non-coding RNA (ACOM_LNC004186)". Lineage: Eukaryota; Viridiplantae; Streptophyta; Magnoliopsida; Poales; Bromeliaceae. The record is from RNAcentral.